CACCAACCCUGGUUACAAUAUCACCACCAACCCUGGUUACAAUAUCACCACCAGCCCUGGUUACAAUAUCACCACCAGCCCUGGUUACAAUAUCACCACCAACCUUGGUUCAAUCCUAGUGGAAAAUUCUGUUAGUAUGACCACAACAUGAUGAACCCUUAUUCAACGUUGGGUCAACCUUGGGUCAACCCUGGUUCUGUUAGAAUAACCACAAUAUGACCAACGGGGUAGGAGCGUUGGGCCAGUAACCGAAAGGUUGCUAGAUCGAACCCCCGAGCUGACAAGGUACAAAUCUGUCGUUCUGCCCCAGAGCAAGGCAGUUAACCCACUGUUCCCCGGGCCCUGAGCAAGGCAGUUAACCCACUGUUCCCCGGGCGCCGUUGAUGUGGAUGUCAAUUGUAAGGCAGCCCCCCCCCACCCCACCUCUCUGAUUCAGAGGGUUAAAUGUGGAAGACACAUUUCAGUUGAAUGAAUUCAGUUCGACAACUGACUAGGUAUCCCCUUCCUGGUUCUGUUAGUAUGACCAACCCUAGUUCUGUUAGUAUGAUCAACCCUGGUUCUGUUAGUAUGACCAACCCUGGUUCUGUUUGUAUGCCUAACCUUGUUCUGUUAUGACGACCAGCUCAGGUUCUGUUAUGACGACCAGCUCAGGUUCUGUUAUGACGACCAGCUCAGGUUGACCACAUGACGACCCCUGUGUUCCUCCUCCUCAUCACCUCCAUGUGUUCUCAGUAAAUCCCAGCCAAUUAGAACAGUCCAGAUGUGUGGUAUUGGGGUAGACCACAGGCUCUCACUACCACAUGACACCCUGCAGACCUAUACAACUAUGCUAACAUCAAAUCACUUCCUAGGCUUGUUAAAUAUCUAAAUAUUCGAUCAUCUCGAAGGCAUUCAAAAAAAGGGAAUUUUGAUUCUCUUAGGAGAAUUUCAAGUUCAAGCAAACAUUUGCUAGUUUUUUGUUCCUAUUUCUUACUUUAAUACAACAUGCUGACUGUUUGGGUAAAAUUAUACCAUUGUAUGAAACCUGGACAGGUGCCUGCUAACAACAGAAGGUACAGGACAGAUACAGUGAGCUCCAAAAGUGUUGGGACAGUGAUGUCGUUUUGGCUCUGUGCUCCAGGACUUUGGAUUUGAAAUGAUACAAUGACUAUGAUGUUAAAGUACAGACUAUCAGCUUUAAUUUGAGUUUAUUGUCAUCCAUAUUGGUUGAAUCUUUUAGCAAUUAGUGCACUUUUUGUACAUAGUCAAAACACACAUCACGACGAGAAACAACACAACACUACAUAAAGAGAAACCCAAGACAACCACAUAGCAUGGCAGCAACAAAUAACACAGCAUGGUAGCAACACAAAACAUGGUACAAACAUUAUUGGACACAUACAACAGCACAAAGGGCAAGAAGGUAGAGACAACAAUACAUCGCGCGAAGCAGCCACAACUGUCAGUAAGAGGGUCCAUGGUUUCUUUGAAUUAAGUCUUUGAAUGAAGAGAUUGAGAUAAAACUGUCCAGUUUGAGUGUUUGUUGCAGCUCGUUAAAGUUGCUAGCUGCAGCAAACUGAAAAGAGGUGCGACCCAGGGAUGUGUGUGUUUUGGGGACCUUUAACAGAAUGUGACUGGCAGAACGGGUGUUGUAUGUGGAGGAUGAGGGCUGGUAGUAGGCAUCUCAGAUAGGGGGGAGUGAGGCCUAACAGGGUUUUAUAAAUAAGCAUCAACCAGUGGGUCUUGCAACGGGUAUACAGAGAUGACCAGUUUACUUGACAAACACUUGGCAAUGAUGAGUGAGAAAGUUAGAGGCAUAAAAAGAAUACCCACAAAAAAUGCUAACCUCCCCUGUUAUUGUAAUGGUGAGAGGUUAGCAUGUCUUGGGGGUAUGAUAUAAAAUGCUAACCUCCCCUGUUAUUGUAAUGGUGAGAGGUUAGCAUGUCUUGGGGGUAUGAUAUAAAAUGCUAACCUCCCCUGUUAUUGUAAUGGUGAGAG
This 1977-nucleotide long non-coding RNA is filed under the name Salmo salar (Atlantic salmon). RNAcentral describes it as "lncRNA (ENSSSAG00000097774.1)". The record is from RNAcentral. Lineage: Eukaryota; Metazoa; Chordata; Actinopteri; Salmoniformes; Salmonidae.